GGGAUAACACUUGGAAACAGGUGCUAAUACCGUAUAACACUAUUUCCGCAUGGAAGAAAGUUGAAAGGCGCUUUUGCGUCACUGAUGGAUGGACCCGCGGUGCAUUAGCUAGUUGGUGAGGUAACGGCUCACCAAGGCCACGAUGCAUAGCCGACCUGAGAGGGUGAUCGGCCACACUGGGACUGAGACACGGCCCAGACUCCUACGGGAGGCAGCAGUAGGGAAUCUUCGGCAAUGGACGAAAGUCUGACCGAGCAACGCCGCGUGAGUGAAGAAGGUUUUCGGAUCGUAAAACUCUGUUGUUAGAGAAGAACAAGGAUGAGAGUAAAAUGUUCAUCCCUUGACGGUAUCUAACCAGAAAGCCACGGCUAACUACGUGCCAGCAGCCGCGGUAAUACGUAGGUGGCAAGCGUUGUCCGGAUUUAUUGGGCGUAAAGCGAGCGCAGGCGGUUUCUUAAGUCUGAUGUGAAAGCCCCCGGCUCAACCGGGGAGGGUCAUUGGAAACUGGGAGACUUGAGUGCAGAAGAGGAGAGUGGAAUUCCAUGUGUAGCGGUGAAAUGCGUAGAUAUAUGGAGGAACACCAGUGGCGAAGGCGGCUCUCUGGUCUGUAACUGACGCUGAGGCUCGAAAGCGUGGGGAGCGAACAGGAUUAGAUACCCUGGUAGUCCACGCCGUAAACGAUGAGU
RNAcentral lists this ribosomal RNA (686 nucleotides) under uncultured bacterium. RNAcentral's name for it is "bacterial SSU rRNA". It matches the Rfam family "Bacterial small subunit ribosomal RNA", at positions 140 to 814 of the family's 1533-position model. The record is from RNAcentral.